This 497-nucleotide ribosomal RNA is filed under the name uncultured bacterium. RNAcentral describes it as "partial 16S ribosomal RNA". It matches the Rfam family "Bacterial small subunit ribosomal RNA", at positions 28 to 507 of the family's 1533-position model. The record is from RNAcentral.
GAUGAACGCUGGCGGCGUGCCUAAUACAUGCAAGUUGAACGCUGAAGGAAGGAGCUUGCUCUUUCCGGAUGAGUUGCGAACGGGUGAGUAACGCGUAGGUAACCUGCCUGGUAGCGGGGGAUAACUAUUGGAAACGAUAGCUAAUACCGCAUAACAGUAGAUGUUGCAUGAUAUCUACUUAAAAGGUGCAAUUGCACCACUACCAGCUGGACCUGCGUUGUAUUAGCUAGUUGGUGAGGUAACGGCGCACCAAGGCGACGAUACAUAGCCGACCUGAGAGGGUGAUCGGCCACACUGGGACUGAGACACGGCCCAGACUCCUACGGGAGGCAGCAGUAGGGAAUCUUCGGCAAUGGACGGAAGUCUGACCGAGCAACGCCGCGUGAGUGAAGAAGGUUUUCGGAUCGUAAAGCUCUGUUGCAAGAGAAGAACGAGUGUGAGAGUGGAAAGUUCACACUGUGACGGUAUCUGACCAGAAAGGGACGGCUAACUACGUG